GUGGGGAAUAUUGCGCGAUGGGCGAAAGCCUGACGCAGCCACGCCGCGUGAGCGAUGAAGGCCUUCGGGUCGUAAAGCUCUGUGGGGAGAGAAGAAGAAAGUCUGUGAAGAGCAGGCCUUGACGGUAUCUCCUUAGCAAGCACCGGCUAACUCCGUGCCAGCAGCCGCGGUAAUACGGAGGGUGCGAACGUUGCUCGGAAUCAUUGGGCGUAAAGCCCACGUAGGCGGCGGCAUAAGCGGAAUGUGAAAGCCCAGGGCUCAACCCUGGAAGUGCAUCCCGAACUGUGUCGCUUGAAUCUCGGAGGGGGACAGAGAAUUCCCGGUGUAGAGGUGAAAUUCGUAGAUAUCGGGAGGAAUACCAGUGGCGAAGGCGCUGUCCUGGACGAAGAUUGACGCUGAGGUGCGAAAGCGUGGGGAGCAAAC
Molecule: ribosomal RNA, 423 nt
Filed under: uncultured bacterium
Lineage: Bacteria
Description: bacterial SSU rRNA
Rfam family: Bacterial small subunit ribosomal RNA
Source: RNAcentral